This 447-nucleotide ribosomal RNA is filed under the name uncultured bacterium. RNAcentral describes it as "bacterial SSU rRNA". It matches the Rfam family "Bacterial small subunit ribosomal RNA", at positions 52 to 518 of the family's 1533-position model. The record is from RNAcentral.
CACAUGCAAGUCGAACGGAGUAUUGAGCUUGCUUAAUAACUUAGUGGCGGACGGGUGAGUAACACGUGAGCAAUCUGCCUUCAGAGGGGGAUAGCAGUUGGAAACGACUGGUAAUACCGCAUAACAUAACGAAGCCGCAUGACUUUGUUAUCAAAGAUUUAUCGCUGAGAGAUGAGCUCGCGUCUGAUUAGAUAGUUGGUGAGGUAACGGCUCACCAAGUCGACGAUCAGUAGCCGGACUGAGAGGUUGAACGGCCACAUUGGGACUGAGACACGGCCCAGACUCCUACGGGAGGCAGCAGUGGGGAAUAUUGCACAAUGGGCGCAAGCCUGAUGCAGCGAUGCCGCGUGAGGGAAGAAGGUUUUAGGAUUGUAAACCUCUGUUGACAGGGACGAUAAUGACGGUACCUGUUGAGGAAGCUCCGGCUAACUACGUGCCAGCAGCCGC